This 443-nucleotide ribosomal RNA is filed under the name uncultured bacterium. Its description in RNAcentral is "partial 16S ribosomal RNA". It matches the Rfam family "Bacterial small subunit ribosomal RNA", at positions 338 to 795 of the family's 1533-position model. The record is from RNAcentral.
CCUACGGGUGGCUGCAGUGGGGAAUAUUGGGCAAUGGGCGCAAGCCUGACCCAGCAACGCCGCGUGAAGGAAGAAGGCUUUCGGGUUGUAAACUUCUUUUGUCAGGGACGCAGCAAGUGACGGUACCUGACGCAUAAGCCACGGCUAACUACGUGCCAGCAGCCGCGGUAAUCCGGAGGUGGCAAGCGUUCUACGGAUUUACUGGGUGUAAAGGGCGGGUAGGCGGGACUGCAAGUCAGAUGUGAAAACCACGGGCUCAACCUGUGGCCUGCAUUUGAAACUGUAGUUCUUGAGUACUGGAGAGGCAGACGGAAUUCCUAGUGUAGCGGUGAAAUGCGUAGAUAUUAGGAGGAACACCAGUGGCGAAGGCGGUCUGCUGGACAGCAACUGACGCUGAGGCGCGAAAGCGUGGGGAGCAAACAGGAUUAGAUACCCCUGUAGUC